AGAGUUUGAUCCUGGCUCAGGAUGAACGCUAGCUACAGGCUUAACACAUGCAAGUCGAGGGGAAACGACAUCGAAAGCUUGCUUUUGAUGGGCGUCGACCGGCGCACGGGUGAGUAACGCGUAUCCAACCUGCCCACCACUUGGGGAUAACCUUGCGAAAGUAAGACUAAUACCCAAUGACGUCUCUAGAAGACAUCUGAAAGAGAUUAAAGAUUUAUCGGUGAUGGAUGGGGAUGCGUCUGAUUAGCUUGUUGGGCGGGGUAACGGCCCACCGAAGGCGACGAUCGAGUAGGGGUUCUGAGAGGAAGGUCCCCCANAGUUGGAACUGGACGACGACGGUCCAAAACGUCCGUACGGGAGGCA
Molecule: ribosomal RNA, 363 nt
Filed under: uncultured bacterium
Lineage: Bacteria
Description: bacterial SSU rRNA
Rfam family: Bacterial small subunit ribosomal RNA
Source: RNAcentral